AACGAACGCUGGCGGCAGGCCUAACACAUGCAAGUCGAACGCUCUAGCAAUAGAGAGUGGCAGACGGGUGAGUAACGCGCGGGAAACUUCCUAGGGGUACGGAAUAGCUCAGGGAAACUUGGGGUAAUACCGUAUGAUGCCGAGAGGCCAAAGAUUUAUCGCCCUUAGAUGUGCCCGCGUCGGAUUAGCUAGUUGGUGAGGUAACGGCUCACCAAGGCGACGAUCCGUAGCUGGUUUGAGAGAAUGACCAGCCACACUGGGACCGAGACACGGCCCAGACUCCUACGGGAGGCAGCAGUGGGGAAUCUUGGACAAUGGGCGCAAGCCUGAUCCAGCCAUGCCGCGUGAGUGACGAAGGCCUUAGGGUUGUAAAGCUCUUUUGCCGGGGACGAUAAUGACGGUACCCGGAGAAUAAGUCCCGGCUAACUUCGUGCCAGCAGCCGCAGUAA
Molecule: ribosomal RNA, 449 nt
Filed under: uncultured bacterium
Lineage: Bacteria
Description: partial 16S ribosomal RNA
Rfam family: Bacterial small subunit ribosomal RNA
Source: RNAcentral